RNAcentral lists this ribosomal RNA (497 nucleotides) under uncultured bacterium. Its description in RNAcentral is "partial 16S ribosomal RNA". It matches the Rfam family "Bacterial small subunit ribosomal RNA", at positions 28 to 507 of the family's 1533-position model. The record is from RNAcentral.
GAUGAACGCUGGCGGCGUGCCUAAUACAUGCAAGUCGAGCGAACGGACGAGAAGCUUGCUUCUCUGAUGUUAGCGGCGGACGGGUGAGUAACACGUGGAUAACCUACCUAUAAGACUGGGAUAACUUCGGGAAACCGGAGCUAAUACCGGAUAAUAUUUUGAACCGCAUGGUUCAAAAGUGAAAGACGGUCUUGCUGUCACUUAUAGAUGGAUCCGCGCUGCAUUAGCUAGUUGGUAAGGUAACGGCUUACCAAGGCAACGAUGCAUAGCCGACCUGAGAGGGUGAUCGGCCACACUGGAACUGAGACACGGUCCAGACUCCUACGGAAGGCAGCAGUAGGGAAUCUUCCGCAAUGGGCGAAAGCCUGACGGAGCAACGCCGCGUGAGUGAUGAAGGUCUUCUGAUCGUAAAACUCUGUUAUUAGGGAAGAACAUAUGUGUAAGUAACUGUGCACAUCUUGACGGUACCUAAUCAGAAAGCCACGGCUAACUACGUG